GACGAACGCUGGCGGCGUGCUUAACACAUGCAAGUCGAACGGGAAGGCCGUGCUUUUGUGGGGUGCGCGAGGGGCGAACGGGGGAGUAACACGUGAGUAACCUGCCCUUGACUGUGGGAUAACUUCAGGAAACUGGGGCUAAUACCGGAUAGGAGCUCCUGCUGAAGGGUGGGGGCUGGAAAGCUUCGGCGGUUGGGGGUGGACUCGCGGCUUAUGAGCUUGUUGGUGGGGUAGUGGCUUACCAAGGCUUGGACGGGUAGCCGGCCUGAGGGGGUGACCGGCCACCUUGGGACUGAGAUACGGCCCAGACUCCUACGGGAGGCAGCAGUGGGGAAUAUUGCACAGUGGGCGGAAGCCUGAUGCAGCAACGCCGCGUGCGGUAUGACGUCCUUCGCGUUGUAAACCGCUUUCGCCUGUGACGAAGCGUGAGUGACGGUACCGGGUAAAGAAGCACCGGCUAACUACGUG
This 468-nucleotide ribosomal RNA is filed under the name uncultured bacterium. RNAcentral's name for it is "partial 16S ribosomal RNA". It matches the Rfam family "Bacterial small subunit ribosomal RNA", at positions 28 to 507 of the family's 1533-position model. The record is from RNAcentral.